Equus asinus (donkey) is the source of this 16488-nucleotide long non-coding RNA. NCBI's taxonomy places the organism in Eukaryota, Metazoa, Chordata, Mammalia, Perissodactyla, Equidae. The record is from Ensembl.
CUUGUCUGUAAGGCAUCUAUAGUUGAAUUCAAUAGAGAAGUUAGAAGAUAGAAAAAAAUAACAGUUAAAGGUUAAACUGAUAUUCAGAUUCUAAGUAAAGUGGAAGUUCUGGAAAGGAAGCAUCUCAGGGCUAAAACCUUGGGAGAAAGCUUCAUGAAAGAGAUGAGAAUUGAUCGAGGACACCCUAGGUAGGGCAAGUAGCAGAAGACCCCUUGGGGGGCAUACGGAGUGGAGAAGGGAUGGGGCAUAUGAUCCUUAGCCACUGGCUGCUUCUGUAAGUCACCACUGAACCUCAUUCAGUUUGGUUCCUUUUAAAAGGUUCUCAGGAUUGACCAUCCUAGUGUAACCUAGUAGCUGGAAGUAUCCUUUCCCUUAAAAUUUUGGCUCAAAGUGUCAGUUUACGACUUGUAGAAAGAAAGUCUGAUUCCUUCACUCAGAUUUCUUCAAAUUCCUGGAAGAGCAUGUAUUUAUGGUCACUCUAAUUGUGAGCUCUUGCUUCCACUGUAUUAGUUCAGGUUAUAGAUGAUCUUACUGUCUCAAGCAUGCUGUCCCUGUUUCCAUCCACAUUGGCCCAGAUGUAGAACUCAGAUAUCUCCCAGCUAAAGCUUUUAUGUAUGCAGCAGACUUUAUUAAAGGUUUGGUAUAAUGGAGAGUAUUGUACAUUGCAGCAAAGCAAGCAACUUGAAUUCUAAUACUGGCUAUCCCUGUGCCUUAAAGUACUUUUGCCCACCUCUCCAUUAGGGAUUUGUCACUAUUCAUAUCACCCAUGAAUAUGGCCUUGGUCUCUUAUUAUCUUAUCUUUCUUUCCUCUGCAAACCUUCCUGACUCUGUAGCCACUAAGUACUCCAGAUACUUCUUACUCUAUUAUGCAAAGCCAGUGAACUCUAACUCUCCCUCCCAAAUUUACCUCUGUAUGUCCAAAGCCCACCAAAGGGCUCGGCUGUGUAAAAAGCUCAUCCACUUCUUUAACAACACAAAGAAUUUGUAGAAGCUCUGAUGUGUUUCUUUACAUGACCUUCCCUCUUUUGAAAGCAUCUCUUGUUUUAACUAGCAUUUACUUCUCUUACCCCAGGAGUGGUUUACUUUGAAGCAUCUGUGAAGGGAAGGUAAGAGGAUAUUCCAGGCGAGGGCAACAAUGUGAAUAUAGGCAGCAACCUACAUAAAACCUAUUGUGGGCAAUGAGAAAACUAGUCCAACUGGAAAGAAGAAGAAUGCUUGGGGAGCAGAGCUCAGAAUAGAUUAGAAAGUCCAGAAACAGAGCUAAGUUUCAAUGGGAAAGGAUAUUGUUUAGGACAAAUGUUUAGCCAUUAAAAAAAAAAAUCUCUGUCACCUUCUACCAAAAUAAAUUUUAGAUGGAUUAAAGAUUUCUACAUAAAAGCUAAAGUAAUAAAUGCACUAGAAAAUAGAUUUUUUCAGUAUGACACCAAAGGCAGAAACUAUAAAGGAAAAAGUGUGGUGAAUUAGCUAUAAAAAAAAAAUCACAACAGUCUGCAUAAAUAAAAGAUAGAUGACAAACAGGUUAAAGAGGAUUUUCAGCGUAUCUCUAAUGUGCACAAGGCUCUUACAAAUCUCUAGGAAAAAAAGCAAAAACAUCAAGAGAAAAUGGGCCAAAGUCAUAGAAGAAUAAAUAUAAAUGACUAAUAAAGCAUAUAGAAAAAGGCUGUUUCACUUACAAUCCAGAAAACACAAAGAGAAAUGAGAUAUCAUUUUUCAAUUGUUAGAUUGACAAAUAUUAAAAAGAAGAAAAUAUUUAUUGCUGAUGAGGGCUUGAGGAAACAGGAAUUCAUACUCUGUUGCUGGGAAUAUAAAUAUGAUCUCUCUGACAUUCGGUUUGACAAAAUGUAGCAAAUUUAAAGUGCUUACACUCUUAAACUAGCAAUUCAACUUCUAGGUAUUUAUCCCAAGGGCAAGUGUGCAGAGAUAUAUGUAUGAGGAUAUUUAUUACUACAGAGCUUAUAAAACAAUCACCAUGGCCAUCAGUAGGAGAUUGGUCAAAUAUGGUGUGUCCAUACAAUGAUAAAUAAAGUAGAUUCAUAACUAUUGACACAGAAAGAUGGCCACAAUAUAUACAUGAAGAAAUGUGUAGCAUAUGAACCUGUUUCAGUUGAAAUAAAUAAAUAUAGCCAUAACUAUGUGUAAAUAUUAAAAAACCAUAUAACAAAUUGUUAAUAGAAAUUACCUUUUAUGAUUCAGAAAAAAAAAGCCACUUAAAAACAUAGGAAAUGGAAGGGCUGGCCCAGCGGUGCAGUGGUUAAGUUUGCACGUUCCGCUUUGGUGGCCCACGGUUUGCUGGUUUGGAUCCCGGGUGCAGACAUGGCCCCACUUGGCAAGCCAUGCUGUGGCAGGCGUCCCACAUAUAAGGUGGAGGAAGAUGGGCACAGAUGUUAGCUCAGGGCCAGUCUUCCUCUGCAAAAAGAGGAGAAUUGGCAGCAGAUGUUAGCUCAGGGCUAAUCUUCCUCAAAAAAAAAAAAAGGGAAAUGGAUUCCGACUUGAGGGUGGUGGGGGCUGACAGUUAUUUUACCCUGGUGGACUAGGUAGUGAAUAGUGUUGAUAAAAGCAGUGAUCAGGGAAGGUUUUAUGGUGUGAAUGUGUGAAAUGAAUGAAGUGAAAAAUGAGGUUAGAGAAACCAGUUAGGAUAAUAAAGCAUCAACUGGGGUAGGUAGCAGGAUUAGAACGGAAAGGACCAAUCUGAGAGACAUUUCAUGGAAGAAACCACUGAUCUGAUAGUCUGUCAGUCAGGAAGAGGAUAAAGAAUCAAAAAUAAAAGGGCCUGUCUAGUGGCGCAGCAGUUAAGUGCGCAUGAUCCGCUUCCCAGUGGUUCACCGGUUUGGAUCCCGGGUGCGGACAUGGCGGACAAGCCAUGCUGUGGCAGGCAUCCCACAUAUAAAGUAGAGGAAGAUGGGCACGGAUGUUAGCUCAGGGCCAGUCUUCCUCAGCAAAAAGAGGAGGAUUGACAGCAGAUGUUAGCUCAGGGCUAAUCUUCCUUAAAAAAAAAAAAGAAGAAAGAAGAACAAGUCACUGAUAAUGCCAAGGUGUCUAUUUACUCUGUGCAGCUUGAAAAUUACUCAUCAUGACUGGAAAGGAGAACCAGUCUUCUAGAAGGGUGAGACAAAUUUGUUUUGUGGAGUUGAAUUUGAAGGGCCAGAGGUGCAUCCAAAACGAAAUGUUCUGUAGGCUGGGGAUUCAUUUAGAGGAAAAGGUACUUCUAGAAUAGACUCAGUCACCGGAGUCACUCUCUAGAUUUUACCCCCUCGACAUGUGCUUGGGGGAGGGGUGGUCAUAUUUUGGUUCUUUUUCCUGUUGGCAGUCUUUUUUUUUUUUUUUUAAGAUUGGCACCUGAGCUAACAUCUGUGCCAAUCUUUUCUUCUUCUUCUUCUCCUUCUCCUCCUCCCUUCUUCUCCCUUCUCCUUCCCCUCCUCCCCCUCCUCCUUCCCCUCCUCCUCCCCCUGCUGCUCCUCCCCCCCCAAAGCCCCCCAGUACAUAGUUGUAUAUUCUAGGUGUAGGUCCUACUGGUUGUGCUUUGUUGGCAGUCUUGACAGACCCUGGAGAGGAGCGUGUGGCAGUGGUCUCAGCUGGAACCUGAGAGUAGAGCUUGAGGAGGGGUAGGAGUAGGCAGUAGUCACCAGAGUAAAACAACAGCCACAACAUUAUUUAAAAAUCACUCUACGGGGUUCGCCCGGUGGCGCAGCAGUUAAGUGCGCACAUUCCGCUUCAGCAGCCCAGGGUUCGCUGGUUCAGAUCCCGGGUGCAGACAUGGCACCGCGUGGCAAGCCAUGCUGUGGUAGGCGUCCCACAUAUACAGUUGAGGAAGAUGGGCAUGGAUGUUAGCUCAGGGCCAGUCUUCCUCAGCAAAAAGAGGAGGACUGGCAGCAGAUGUUAGCUCAGGGCUAAUCUUCCCUGAAAAAAAAAAUCACUCUAUCAUGUACAAAGGCCAUUAUAUACAGUGACUUACCUAACACAAUCCUAUAUGCUUUGCAUUAUUAUUUUUUUCCUUUUGGGUGAAGUUCAAUUUCUCGUUUUACUGAAUCUCAAUUAGAGGGUUAGAAUUAGGACGCAAACUAAGGUAUUCAGGUCUCAAAUUUCAUUUCUCAUUUCUCCACUCUCUGUCUCUUGGAGAUGAAUUUUCCACAGAGAGAGAGACUAGAGCAAAAGCUGCAACCUGGAGCUCGGGGUACCCACAAUUAAGAGGUGGGAGGAGGAGGGCCAGAGAAGACACUAAGUCACUCACAGUCACUGCCCUGUCCCCUGGCCUUUGUAGGCCCUGACAGUCCUCUAAACCAGAGAAUGUUGGAUGUUCCUUUGAAACAUCCAAGUUGGGAGGAAGUCCCAUAAAUCCCUGGAGGUGUUUUGGAAGUAGGGUUCACCAGUUUGGUUACAGCAGAGUUAGUGUGGUGGCUUAGUGGUUUAUUGAAUUCUGGCUUCAUUCUGUUGAAGGCAACACAGUAAAAGCAUAUUGACUUACGCCCAUGAGGGAAGGGCUUGUCUGUAUUAAUUACAUGAAAAAAUUUUUUGUGUGUGAAAUUGUUAGGCUUGUCUGGAUUACUCACAUGAAAACAUAUUUUUUGUGAAGUCAUUAGGUUUGUGUAGUUCUGGAGUCACGUGGUAACUCACUUGUGUAGGCACCAGGUGGUAGAGAUCGUAAGAGGAUCUACUUUAAUGAGCAGAAAUCAAGUCUUUUAAGUCACUUCAGUUUUCCAACUGACAGUCAUGUUCACGGAAUUAAAUUAUAUAGCUAACCCGUUCUGAUAGCAUAAACACAAAAAGCAGUUAUCUCCUAAACAAACACGCGGACUUCUGUGGGUACUAUUAGUGGUUACCACGGGGAACGGAGGUGGGGGUGGGCACAAAGGGCGAAGGGGCACACCUGUGUGGUGACUGACAAAUAAUGUACAACUGUAAUUUCACGAUGCUGCAAACUAUAAUGACCUCAACUAAAAAAAAUAAAAAUUAAAAAAACCACAGUUAUAUCCUGUCAGAAGUUCUGAAUCAACAGGGUCCGCUUUAAAGAGGUUUUCCUGCAACUAUUGGGCUGGUGUCCACAGAGAAUCCCACAGGCAUCCCUGCAGCCUGGUGCUGGGAGCAUAGUGGGCAGUCGAGAAACAGUGGUUGAAUGAAUGAGUGGGCGAGCGAGUGAAGGACAGAAGGAAUCUCUCCCUGAGGCGUCUUGAGCUAUCUUCCCACAGCCUCCUGCUGCAGCUUGGCUGGGUGGUUUUAGGACAAGCCUUAUCAUUUGGGAUUUUGUAAUGGGGAGGGUGGAAAUGGAGGCACCAUGGGAAGUUGCUGUUCUGUGAGUUGGUGACUCCACAGAAGGGAUGUAUCCAAAACCAGUAAGCUGGUGCCACUUGAGUCCAGGUCAUAUGAGCUUUCCUCCUAAAAAGAUCAGGCUGCUGAGAAGGUCUCUGGAGCAAGUGAUGAGGCCCACGGAGUUAGGAGAUUUCCUGUUGGCAACCUUGGUGUUACCCAAAGAGGGCAGCUACUUUCUAAGUCCUCUGAAGGAGGCUCUCCGCCACCCUUCCUUCUCACUGCUUGGAUUCUAAGUAGGGCCCUCGCUGGCUUCUGCUUAUCCUGCCUGGCCCUGCCCUCUGACUGUGAGCCAUUGGCGAUUUUUAGCCCUCCUGGAAAUUGCACCCUUUAUGAGGGUAAAGCAAACUGUGAAGUUCUGGUUCUGGCUCCAGAGGGAUUGGGGCCAGUCACCUGGCCCUGCCCUGUGUUUCUUGGCAUGCAUUCCUGGCCACCUUUUUACCCUUAGCACAGUCCUCCAAGCCUGUAAUUCUGCCUGGGUAAGGAUUAAGUACUGGCUUCUUCAGAGGGACUGUCAGGGCAAGAAUAUCAUGUUUUGGAAGACGCUCCUGACACCAAUCUCCAUGUCUUGCCUUAGGAGAAUUAUUGGUCUUAUAUAGAUGAUCUAACAGUUAUAUUGGGAGUGGUUGGGGGACUUGGAGAUUCUUCAUAUCACAAAAGGACUUACUGCUAGGUUUCUUUAAGCAUUGAACCUGCUUUUCAAAAUAAAAUUUGAUUUCACGCUGUAAGUAAUGUACAAUUAUUUGCAACAGAAAAAAACUUUUGAGAUUUUCUAGGCAAACUUCCUUGUUUCACAAGUCAGCAAACUUCAGGAGGUCCAGCAAGGGCAAAGCCGUGCCUGUGCUGGGGAGCUGACGCUCAGGUUAUGUGAAAGGAAUUGAAGCAGAGAGGAGCAGACACUGUGUGAGAGGAAGUCUCAGUUGCUCCUGGAGGAGCAUUUUUCUGGUUGUUUUCCAAGUGAGGGAGGGGAAGAACGCAUUUCUUCCCCAGGAAUGCCCUGCUCAUAUCCCUCGGAUUGGGUAAUUCCUGCCUCACUGACUUUUAAUGUAGUCCUUCCAGACUGAACCCAAAACAACAUGGUAAUACCUCAGUAUUUGAGACUUAGAGGCACGUUUAAAUAAGUAAAACUCUAAAUUACAGGAUGUGAAUGCAACUUUAAAUUCAAUGUGUAAAAAAAGCCAAAUAUUAAGUUAGCAAAAUGUUAGUGGAAGUUCUUCAGGGGGCCUUAUUGAAUUAGUUGAUUAGAUUGAUUUUUAAUUAGAAUUAUCCAAUCUAUAAUAGGUAUUUAUAAAAUCCAUUCAUUCAUUUAUCAAAUAUUUAUUAACUACAGAGAGUUCUAUAGUAACUUGAGAUAUAGACUAAAACUGUGGGAACUCAGGAGAGGUGGUUUGUAGCUUUUGGACCUAGAGAAUCAGGGAAGUUUUGUGAAAACAAGUUUCUUUGUUUUAAAGAAUGCUUUAAACAGUCUUGCUGGGGCUGGCCCCAUGGCCUAGUGAUUCAGUUCUGCAUGCUUUGCUUUGGUGGCCCAGGUUUGGUUCCUGGGCACAGACCCACACCAUUCAUCAACGGCCAUGCUGUGGUGGUGACUCACAUACAAAAUAGAGGAAGACUGGCACAGAUGUUAGCUCAGGGCGAAUCUUCCUCAGCAAAAAAAAAAAAAAAACCUUAAACAGUUUUGCAUAUACUCUAGUCAAAGGUAGUGUUGAUACAAAGGAAAAUCUGUUCUCAUCCACAUUAUUAAAACUGAAUUAGUAUCAACACAAUACAUUUCCUUUCACUGUGCUUCUUUACUGAUCUCUAAAGCAGUUUCCAAAGAGCAGACCUUUGGUAACCAGGAGCAGUCCACUCUGUUUGCUAGACAGUACCUCUGCAGCUAGGGAAUGGGGGCAAGGUUGUGGACACAGUCAGGGAGACCACUUCUUCAAGGAGCUUGUCUGUAAAGUGAGGAGAGUUAGUGAAGGGAGGGGACCCAGCAUCUAAGGUGAGUUCUUUAUUUUUUGAGACCCAAGCAUGUCCCUGCGCUGUGGGGAAAGGGCUAGUAGAGAGGGAAAAGUUGAAGAUAGAAAAGAGAAAGAAAAAUUGUUGAGCAAGGCCCCUGGGGAGAAGGGGCUACUGCAUCCUGAGCACAGGUGGAGAGUUUGAACUUGAACUGAACAAAUGACAAGGCUACCACUGAGGUUAGCUUCACCACCACGACUACCACCCUUUAUUGUUUUCCUACCUUUUGUUAGCACUCGUUUGAGCUCUUUUAAGUUUCAUUUGCUAGGGAUGAGAGAUGUUAUGGGGCAGAGGAAUUUGGUAAGAUUUUGGGGAGACAGAAUGUUGGAGUUUCCUCCUGUUGGGCUUUGUUUUCUCUGGGCAGAAGAAGUUGAAGUCAUCUGCUGGGAGCAGGGGACAUAGUGGGUAUGGUGGCAUGGUUUUUAAAAGCUGUUGUGCCAAUGGCAGUGAUCUGAGGACGUGGAGGAGGACAGUUGAGCUGUGCUUAAGACCCAGAUAAUGUUGGAGAUGCUGACUUUCUAGAGGAGCAGCCCUCAUGACUUAAUGGUUGCUUUAGAAGUGCUCAGCAACUUGGGGGUUAAGGCAGAGGACUUUUGUACUCAAAUAGGAGCUCUGGUUUGUGGGGCAAAUGGAAGACUUGGAGUAAAGGGGGCCUAGGAUAUGGUAGCAGAGUAGUUGUCAUCUAGUUGGCUAGAGAAAGAGGCAUGAUAGGCAGCAAAAUGAUGGGGGCUGGGGUGUGAAGAGACUGGAAAUCUCAGUGUAGUUGAAAUACAGAAGCCGAAAAGUAAAGACAAGAAGAGGUAGAAAUUUAGGAGUUCAUGACGAGGCAAAGGGUCUGACUUGGAGUAGAAAAGCAGACUCUGAUCGAGGACCAAAGUCCUUGAUGACCACGAGGUUAGUAGCUGACGGCAGUGAGGAGGAGUGUAGCCAUGGCCUCGUCAAAGGAAGGGUUUUUGUAAGGUUGUGGGAAUAAUAGCUUGAAGCACCAUCAAGACAGUUCGUCUGUUUCUCCUCUUGGUACCGCUGGGUACUGAAGAAUGAUUUUUUGGCAGAAUCUUCAUGGCCCAGAAACCCAGUUCCUCAAGGAGUGUCAGGUUUCAGCUGGGGGAAAGAGGCCAGAACCAUCUUUUAGGCCUGCUUUCUGCACUGCCUGCCUAAAUACAGUGGAGUUUUAAUAGUUGGGGGACGGGAGAAGUUCUGGCCAAGUGAGACAUCCCCACAAAGUACGGGGCCUUUAAGCAGAUUUUGUGGGAACCGGGACUAAGUAUUCUUGCAGGCAAAAUCCCAUUUGGCCACAGGGUUUUUUGAACUGUUCAGGAUCAGAUUGGGCCAGUGCUAAUCUUCUGUGAGAGGCUCAAGGGAAGUGUUGUAAAGGUCUUGCUUAAAACUCUAGGAGGCAAUGGACUCUUGAGCCUUUCUGUUCCUGUGGGGUCUGGAAUUUAUUUUUCCUUCCAUGGUGACAGUAAAUAAUGCCCUAAAAAGCCCACAUAGUUUGAAAGAAUCUGGAAGUACUCAGAUUAUUGUUUAUAAAGAUGUUUUUGGAUUUUCAGUGGUUCAGGUUUCCUUUGACAUUGUUAAUACAUGAUUCUAAGCAAAAAUUAAGAAAGAAGCCCUGAGGGCUGCCUGGUGGUGCAGCGGUUAAGUGUGCACGUUCUGCUUUGGCAGCCUGGGCUUCGUCGGUUCGGAUCCCGGGUACAGACAUGGCACUGCUUGGCAAGCCGUCCUGUGGUAGGCGUCCCAAAUGUAAAGUGGAGGAAGAUGGGCACAGAUGUUGGCUCGGGGCCAGUCUUCCUCAGCAAACCUCAAAAAAAAAAAAAGUGCCGAAAUAGCUGAAAAUAAACAAACAAAAUCUCACAAUUCUUUUUGCCCCUUCUUAACCUGAUCCAUUUACACCACCACUGUGGCUAUAAAACCAGAUGGGAACUGCUCAGAAAAUGAUUGCCUAAUAGCCAUUUCACCACAGAAACCUAAGCAAGGUUGUGUGGCCCCCAGCAGAAGAAGCUAGGUGGGUCAGGGCUCGGGGUGUGCUGCUCCCAUGGAGGUACUUUCUAAAUUGUUUGUAAUUGGUUUUACCAUGUAAAAAUGAGAAACUUCUGUCUGGCAAAAGUCAUCAUAAAUAAAGGUAGAAGACAAUCAACAGGCUGGGAGAAAAUUUUUGCAAUAUAUGUAAUAGACAAUGGAUUAAUAUCUAUAAUUUAUAAAAGAUUCCUAUUAAUCAAUAAGAAAAAGACAACAAAUCCAAUAGAAAAUGGGCAAAGAAUACAAACAGGCAAGUCAUAGCAGGGCAAACUGGAAUUUCAUCUGACGAAGUGGUUAUCCUUGAGUACAGGGAUGUACUGGACAAGAAUGUUCAUUGCAUUAGUAAAUAUCCAUGAGUAGGGGACUGUAAAGUAGUGUGGUUGUGAAAACGCUGAAGUAGGUUCUGUAUCAGUGAGAAAAGCAAGUGCAGAGCAAUGGGAAUAGAAUGUUCCCAUUUAUGUUUUUAAAAAACAUUCCUAUUUAUUUGAUUUGGAAUGUAUUCAUUCUGUUUUAAAUUUUAUUAGAGGAUUCCUUUAGGUUAAAAAAUAUUUAAGGGUGUAUUUUUCUAGUCAUGACUUUAAUGAAUGAAAUGCCAACUUUUGUCUUCCCCUUAUGUAAGAUGAAAGGUGUAUUCCCAUCCUCACCUUCUUCCUCUUUAUUUGUUUAACCUGGUAUUGUAAAUCUUAGCCUCCAAGAAGAAUUUAGGGACCUCUCCCUAUUCCUUCUUCCGUGGGAACCAGAAGGAUUCCUAAGAGAUUCUAUGGGCUGGCCAUGGUGCCUGCUGCUCCUCUUUUUGGUGUGAUGAACAAAGGAAUUCAAAGCUCAGAAUUCUUUCCUAGGAUUUGCUCUUUUUUGGUAUUCACAGCCUUACAGAUCCUGUCUCCUGCCUCUGAAGCAUUGAGAGAGGCUGGGGCCUCCUCUCUUUGGGACACCCUGCUUGCUCCUUUCCCUUAGAAAGGGAAGGGAAUUAUCUGAGUGGCCCAGGAAGGCAUGGCUUAGAGCUAGCCUAGGUCUUGGGAGGAAACCUGCUCCUUGUGGUUGCCCUUGCAUCACCUUUGGAGAAGCCUAUUAGCUGGUUUUUAUCUUGGUCUCGGGCCCACACCAACCUAGGUGAAAGGAGUCCUUGAAGCUGACACCUUAGUUUUGCCUAUUUCACUGGAGUUUGAGGCUCUGGAGCUCCAGCCUGGAAACAACAGGAAUUCCAUCACAAGGUGGCACAGGGAUGUAAACUCUUUUGUCUUUCAAAAACAGGCAACACUUUUGGGACAGAAGCAUUGCUUUCCUUCGUCACAUUCUCAGUGUCAGUAGACCCCAGUAGGGGUAUGGGAGAAUUGUUUUGGACUUGUAACAUAGGCUUUUCUUUGAGCUGGAGAGUUUACAUAGAAUUGUAGAAACUUAUUUAAAACCAGUACUGACUGCAGCCAGUUCUGCUUCUAAAGAUGAGUGGCAUAACUCUUAUUUGUAGGGGAAAAAAUGGUUCCAUUUUCUUCUCCACUGCAGAACGGUGAUGAGAGAGUGAAAAUUCAGAAACUUCUUUUUGUUCCUCAGCACUGGUCAGGGGUGGAACCCGGAGUGGAUGGUUUGUAGUGCGGCUGACUCCAGCUAUGGGUCAUUGGAUGUCAGAGGAAGGAGGAUGGAGAGCUAAGUUGCUCUGAAUAAUAUAAGGGGAAUUUAGUUUCCUGAGGGAAGGGGAGACCCCUUCCCAAAUGUGGGAAGUGUCUGGAGAAGGUGAAGAAGACAAGCAGCAUGGUAGUAUAAAACCCCUGUCUCUUCAUAACUUCAGGAAAGCCUGAUGAAUACACAAUAUUUUGAGUGAGUUUGUAUAGGUGUAUUUGUUCUUUUGGUAAAGCAUGGAGAAAGAGAGCUGAGUCCCACAUCUGGACAGCUCAGAGCAGAGGGAAAGGACCAGCCUCAGGAGGUGAGAUGUGAGUGAGAUCAAAAGUCCAGCAGGAGCUGGAGUUAGAGCCGGAAGGGAUUACUAAGAGCAUUAGCUGCUGGAAGUUUGCAGAAAUUGGGGGAAGGUCAUUGGACUUCCCAUAGGAUUUGGGAUAGGGGGAUCCAAGAAACUUUUAAAAACAUGUCCAAGGAUAAGGUGGUUGCAGCUAACAUCUGAUUGCUGUAGUGCUGUGUAUCUCAUAGAAUGUUUAACAGUGUUCCCCGCUCCCCCCUGCCAAGAUCCUUCUUAUGGAGGUCUAUUUGUUGGAUGCCCCAGGAACUAUCCUGAUAUUCCUCUUCCUGCCCCAUGGACUCCAUUUUUUCAGUUCAGACUCCAAAAGGGAAGUAAAACUUUCCAAGAAAGGGCUUGUCAUUCCCUUCCCUUCCAAUUAGGAAUCCACAGAUCCUGAGGAUGCUGGUCAAAGAGCUAGAGAGCUGCAGCCGCCCCAGCCUCACCAGCACUGAGUAGGGCACAUCAUUUGGGAGUGAAGGGACAUGGGUAAAGUCUUCCUCAGACUCUUGGGACUUGAAGACUGCUCUGAGCAAGCAUGUAAGCAAAUAUUAAGACGAGUGAGUGCCCUAAAGCAAGAACCCAAGGUCUCCGAGCAGCGGGAGUGGGAUCAUGGCAAAUCCAGCCGGUGCCACACUGAACAAGCACUCUUGCUCAUUCCUUAGGGAAGAAGAACAGGUUGAUGGAAGAACCUGUUGUAUAGUCUUAGCCUCCAUUGUAGUUCCAAAGUUUGAGGACAGCAGAGAUGGGUGGGCUUUGCCUGCCCAGCACGCAUUCUCUCUUCUUAGGUAAGAGCCCCUUGAUUUUCCUUUGGGGCUACCUCCUUCCCCAUUCUCAGUCUGGGCUCUGAUGGGGUCAGGUCUAUCUCUGGGUUCUGGAUAGGGGACAUAUAACCAUGCCUAUCAGAGAACAGCGGUUGGCAUGGGCAUGGUGUUAAAUCCAGGCCAAUGAGGACUUCCUGACUUUUGUUGGAACUAUUAAGAAGUGAAUUCUCAUUUCUUUUCCAACUGGGUCACCAAGCCUGUAGAAUGUUUGUAACCCUGAGGUGGCUGGUGGCCAUCUUGCCGCCCCACGGGAGUGCUGAAGUCAACACAGAUGAAAGCUGAGCUGGGAGGUGGAAAGAGAUGGAGACUAGAUGACAUCUUUUCAGCACCUAGACCUAACUAUUCCUUAAGCUAGUCUAACUCUGGACAUUUCAUUUACAGAGGCCCAGGCUUUCCUUUUUUUUUUCUUAUGAAAAUUUAAUUUGGAUUUUUGUCAUCUGCAGGUAGUAGUCUUAAUUCAUGUUAUGAAUUGUAUAUAGUUCUCAUUAAAAAGUAUGGUUUGACCUUUCUCACCAGAUCCUUUUGUCUUAAAGUGUCUUGAACUGUAAGUUUGCUAUAUGAAUCAAGUGAGACCAUAUAUGUAAAGAACCUAAUUUUAUCUUCUGUACAUAGAAAAAAACAGUAAAUAUUAACUACAGGAAGCAAGGAAGAAGGGAGGGAGGGGGAGGGGAGGAAGAUGAGGUGCUGAAUUAUAAGAACCCUGAAGUCUUUAGGGUAAUCCUCUAGGAACCUUCAGACCUUAUCAAGUCCCCUUGUUCUAAAUGCCCCUAGCGCCCUAUCCUUUUCCCUUGUCACCCUUCACCAUGGUUUGUAAUGACGUUUUUAUGUAAUAUUUGAUUAAUGUCUGCCUUCCUCGCUGACCUGGCAGUUCCACCAGGGCAGUGAUUGUGCUUACUGUUAUACCCCCAGCAACAGCCCAGCGUGUGGCAUUCAGCAAACAUCUGUUGAAUGAAUUGUCAUGUAUAGUUACUCAAAUUGGACUGACCCUCCUUGAUUAUUGGGGUUAGGGUUGUGGCAGAAUUGGCAAAAUCAGGGAAAGUUGUCCUUGUCCCCUCUGCAUCUCCUAUGCUAUUCAUACCCUAAAGCACAUACAGAGAAUUUUGUCUCAAUGAGAUAGUUAAUUUCGAUUUGGUUGUGAAACCCUUUACCAAAGCUCUAUUUCUUAUAUUUUUAUUGGACCAUUUUAUUGAAGAAUUCACUAUUGUGGUGAUUGGCCUAAUAUGUGGAAAGCCUUGCAGAGGAGUGGGUCAGGUCUCUGUGAUUAACAAGCAGUCUUCCUUGCUCCUGUGUCUUUAUAAAAUUAUUUAACUGGAAUAGUCCAUGCUCACUCAGGCUCACUCAGGAAGUGUUGGAUCCUGUUAGGAACGCCUGGGAAGUCGAUGAGGGAAAGGUCCUGGAUUCUGGAGACUUCACUCCCUUGCAGGAAACAAAAGCUGUAGAAGGUGGCCCCGGGGUAACCUGAAGCUGACUCCUUCAGCCCUCACUUCUGGGCCCAGUGGGAGCUCCAGGAGUACCACCUUGUCCCCUGCGUUGCCACACAAAGUGUUCUCCUCCCAGCUGAGGCUGCGAUUCAUCCCUUCCCCCAGCCUGCUUUCCCUGAGGUGGGGAGAGUGUUUCCCAGGGCCCAUGUGACUUCCACUGGCAAGUGACGAUUACAGAUGGUUUACUAGUCAGUAAAACUGCCAAAGGCUUUUGUGCUGUAAUAAUCCUUUUCCUGUUUAAAACUCUGGGGAUUUUCUCCUGUUGCCAGUAGUUUUUCAAGUCAGCAAUUACGGUGUGGAUUAUGUAAUGGCUGGGUAUUAAAAAUAGAAAAGACCAGAGUUUGCAUCUAUUUUAACCAAAUCAAAAGAGAGCAAAGGGAGGGGAAAGGAGGAGAGGGAGAGACUAGAGGAGGAGGGAAAAAGAGAUUACGUGACAAGAAGCAGUGAGAUGGCUUCAUGUGACUGGACAAUCCAGCCCACAGUUUACUCUUCCCUUCUCCUGCCGUUCUUGGUCCAAGGGGCUGCACUGCCUUCCUCGGCCUCCUCCAGGGAGGAGACCCUGCAGAGAAUUCCGGGGACAAAAAACCCUCAUGGAUACUCCUCAGCUCAGCCUUGGGGUGUUUGCCUGCCUCUGACAAGCAAAAUGACUAAGGAGGGAGGGGACUGAAUUUGAAGUCCUCCCUCCACCCCCAAAUCCAGGACUCCUGUGUCUUGAUUUCCAAGGUCUUGGUGCUCAGUUUGUUUCUCUUGUCGCAGUGGUAGAGUCAAGGGGUAGUUUAUGGGGGAGUCUUUAGCAUCCCAAAUUUCUGUCAGUAUCUUCCCAAAGCCACCCCAAAUAAAUAGUCAGCGUAUUUGAAAACUGUGUGCUCACUAGGAAAACACUGCUUUACUAUAGUUACUCCCAACCCUUCCACUGUCUGUCCCCACUCCACUCCUCUUCUCACUGGAUUGCCACCUCUAAGCCCCUCAUGUAGGAAUUCCAGGGCUACCACUGGUUUGUUCUUGUGUGACUUCUUACUAAUCUCCACCCCCAUCCCACCCCAAGUUAAGAAAUCUUUGUGUUUUUCUAGAGACUUGUUGAAUAACUUUAAGGACCCUCUCUCUCUCUCUUUUUUUUUUGCUGAGGAAGAUUCGCCCUGAGCUAACAUCAGUUGCCAGUCCUCAUUGUUUUUUCUUUUUCAUGUGAGCCACGGCCACAGCAUGGCCACUAACAGAUGAGUGGUGUACGUCCGUGCCCAGGAUCCAAACCCAGGCAGCCAAAGCAGAGCAUGCCAAACUUAACCACGAGGCCACCGGGGCUGGCCCAAGGACCCUCUUAAUGGUGAAAUUUUCGGUACAAGCAUGGCUUGAUAAGCAGCGUGUACAUCCAUGCCCGGGAUCCGAACCAGUGAACCCCAGGCUGCUGAAGCGGAGUGCACAAACUUAACUGCUAUGCCACUGGGCCAGCCCCUCAAGGAUGUUGGUACAAAUUGCCCAAUUGUCUUCCAGAAAAGAUGUAUCAACUUAGACUCUCACCACCAGUCCUGUGAGAGUAUCUCUUUCACUACAUCCUUCCCAACACAAGGAUGAACUUUGAAGUCAUUGUGCCAAGUCCUGCUUGUUCCUUUGGACUACACAGUGGGAGCUGGAAACAUGGGUGACCCCAGUAGGGGCUUUUGUAUUCAUAAGCACCAGGCUUACGAAUACAAACACAGCAAGUCCCAGGAGCUGGUUUUGGUGGGGCUGGACUUCUCCUCCAUGCAGAAUCACAUGGCCUCUUUAGGAAGAAGCCCCUCGCCGCCAUUGACCUCCACUUGGGGCAUCCUCCUGUCUCCAGUCCAAAGACAAUCCUAUGGACCUCAGAGCUCUUGUGUCUCUGCUGCUGCAGCACCCAUCCAUAUGUGCCCCACUGUGGCCGAGCCAGCCUGUACUGGGGUGUUCCUGUCCAUCUUGCAGGGGACUCUGCCUCCAGCCAGUGCCCCCUCCAAGCCUGGUCUCCUCUAAGGAUUUCCUGUGGGUUAGCUCUGGGGAUCUUUUCUUAAUCUGUUCCUACAUGUGUUAUUACAGAAAGAAUUAUUCAUAAUUGCCAGCAUUGUGAUGGCUUCUUCCUAGUUUCUUUUGAGCCUGCAUGUUUUUCCCUACUUGACAUUUUCUAGGUUCUCUCCUACUUAAGUGACUUCUUCAGGAUCUUUUCUAUUGAGGAGUAAUGAACGAACAGUAAAGUCACAAAUCCUAAGCAUACAUUGCAGUGAAUUUUUACAUAUGUGUACACUAUGUAACCACCACCCCAAUCAAGGUGUUUCUUUUAGAGUUGAGAAGUUCUUGGUGGGAGGUUGAGUGGAGAAGGAAAUCAUGAGUGUGUCCACGAGCUGCCGUCUUUUUCUAGAACUCUCUUUAAAGGGUGUUAAGGAGGGAGCUGAACGUCAAGUCUAUACAGUGGUGUGGAGAGCAGAAUGCUUAGGAGUGGCAGGUCAUGUUCUGGUCCUCCCCCUUACUAGCUGUGGGACUUCUGUGCCUCAGUUUCAACCACUGUAAAAUGGGAGUAGAUGAUAGCUCUUACCUCACAAGGUUAUCAUGAAGAUUACACGAGGCAGUACAUGUAAGUGCACCAAAAAAUGUUAAUUGUUAUUUUUGUUGUUAUUAAUAACGAGGAGGAGGCAGUGGUUCUUAAUGAAGGAUAUGCAUCAGAAUCACCUGGGGCACUUUCGCAAAAUACACAUUCUCAACCUGGCCAGAUCUACUGAGUCAGAAUCUAGAUUUUAAAUGCCUCCCCAGGUUCAUUCUGUUGCUCAUCCGUGGUUGAGAACCACUGGGCUGGAGGUGGUCAUGACUGGAAGCAGGAAGGCCAACAGGUAACCCCUGCGAUAGUGAGAGCCGGAGAGGAUCAGAGCUGAGCAGAUUUGAGGCAGAGUGGAGAGGUGGCCAAGAUGUGGCGACCUUG